Molecule: ribosomal RNA, 455 nt
Filed under: uncultured Glomus
Lineage: Eukaryota; Fungi; Glomeromycota; Glomeromycetes; Glomerales; Glomeraceae
Description: SSU rRNA
Rfam family: Eukaryotic small subunit ribosomal RNA
Source: RNAcentral
UAUUAAAGUUGUUGCAGUUAAAAAGCUCGUAGUUGAACCUCGGGGUCUACCCAUUGGUCAGGCUUAAUUGUCUGCACUGGUGAGAUGGAUCUCUACCUUCUGAGGAACUUUCAUGCCAUUUAUUUGGUGUGAUGGGAAAUCAGGACUGUUACUUUGAAAAAAUUAGAGUGUCUAAAGCAGACUAUCGUCUGAAUACAUUAGCAUGGAAUAAUGAAAUAGGACGGACUGAUUCUAUUUCGUUGGUUUCUAGGAUCACCGUAAUGAUUAAUAGGGAUAGUUGGGGGCAUUAGUAUUCAAUUGUCAGAGGUGAAAUUCUUGGAUUUAUUGAAGACUAACUACUGCGAAAGCAUUUGCCAAGGAUGUUUUCAUUAAUCAAGAACGAAAGUUAGGGGAUCGAAGACGAUCAGAUACCGUCGUAGUCUUAACCAUAAACUAUGCCGACUAGGGAUCGGAUG